UACGUAGGUGGCAAGCGUUGUCCGGAUUUACUGGGCGUAAAGCGCCCGCAGGCGGCUUGUUAAGUUCAAGGUGAAAUCUCCCGGCUUAACUGGGAGGGUGCCUCGAAAACUGGCAGGCUUGAGGUGAGGAGAGGGAUGCGGAAUUCCCGGUGUAGUGGUGAAAUGCGUAGAUAUCGGGAGGAACACCAGUGGCGAAGGCGACUACCUGGCCUGUUCUUGACGCUGAGGCGCGAAAGCUGGGGGAGCAAACGGG
RNAcentral lists this ribosomal RNA (253 nucleotides) under uncultured bacterium. RNAcentral describes it as "partial 16S ribosomal RNA". It matches the Rfam family "Bacterial small subunit ribosomal RNA", at positions 524 to 776 of the family's 1533-position model. The record is from RNAcentral.